RNAcentral lists this transfer RNA (55 nucleotides) under Desulfovibrio sp. An276. It matches the Rfam family "tRNA", at positions 1 to 52 of the family's 71-position model. Rfam says of the family: Transfer RNA (tRNA) molecules are approximately 80 nucleotides in length. Their secondary structure includes four short double-helical elements and three loops (D, anti-codon, and T loops). The record is from Rfam by way of RNAcentral. Lineage: Bacteria; Pseudomonadati; Thermodesulfobacteriota; Desulfovibrionia; Desulfovibrionales; Desulfovibrionaceae.
GGGCCUGUAGCUCAGGUGGUUAGAGCGCACGCCUGAUAAGCGUGAGGUCGAAAGU